AUUAAACCUAAAAUACUAACUCAAAAUAAUAAAUUCACAAAAACAAUUUAUUAACAAUUCAUUUACAAUAAAAAAUAACUAUCAAAAAACCCAAACUAUCAAAAUCUACCUAAUAAACUUUUUCCUCCCUAUAUUAUCUCAACCCCUUUUAUUUUUCAUUCCUUCAUUACAUAAUCUAUAAUUAUUAUAAUACCUUCUCAACUAAUAAUUACAACUAAAA
Molecule: unclassified non-coding RNA, 220 nt
Filed under: Hevea brasiliensis (rubber tree)
Lineage: Eukaryota; Viridiplantae; Streptophyta; Magnoliopsida; Malpighiales; Euphorbiaceae
Source: RNAcentral